This 551-nucleotide ribosomal RNA is filed under the name uncultured Acaulospora. RNAcentral's name for it is "SSU rRNA". It matches the Rfam family "Eukaryotic small subunit ribosomal RNA", at positions 548 to 1098 of the family's 1831-position model. The record is from RNAcentral. Lineage: Eukaryota; Fungi; Glomeromycota; Glomeromycetes; Diversisporales; Acaulosporaceae.
UUGGAGGGCAAGUCUGGUGCCAGCAGCCGCGGUAAUUCCAGCUCCAAUAGCGUAUAUUAAAGUUGUUGCAGUUAAAAAGCUCGUAGUUGAAUUUCGGAGUUUGUCGGUUGGUCGGGCUUCACUGUCCGCACUGGCCUGAUGGAUUCCUACCUUCUGAAUAACCAGCAUGCUAUUAAGUUAGUGCGUUGGGGAAGCAGAGCUAUUACCUUGAAAAAAUUAGAGUGCUUAAAGCAGGCUUAUGCUUGAAUAGAUUAGCAUGGAAUAAUAAAAUAGGACGGCAUGGUUCUAUUUUGUUGGUUUCUAGGAUCACCGUAAUGAUUAAUAGGGAUAGUUGGGGGCAUUAGUAUUCAAUUGUCAGAGGUGAAAUUCUUGGAUUUAUUGAAGACUAACUUCUGCGAAAGCAUUUGCCAAGGAUGUUUUCAUUAAUCAAGAACGAAAGUUAGGGGAUCGAAGACGAUCAGAUACCGUCGUAGUCUUAACCAUAAACUAUGCCGACUAGGGAUCGGACGAUGUUAAUUUUUUAAUGACUCGUUCGGCGCCUUACGGGAAAC